RNAcentral lists this ribosomal RNA (253 nucleotides) under uncultured bacterium. Its description in RNAcentral is "partial 16S ribosomal RNA". It matches the Rfam family "Bacterial small subunit ribosomal RNA", at positions 524 to 776 of the family's 1533-position model. The record is from RNAcentral.
UACGAAGGGUGCAAACGUUGCUCGGAAUUAUUGGGCGUAAAGAGCUCGUAGGCGGUGUGUCGCGUCGGCCGUGAAAACCUGCAGCUCAACUGCAGGCUGGCGGUCGAUACGGGCAGGCUGGAGUUCGGUAGGGGAGACUGGAAUUCCUGGUGUAGCGGUGAAAUGCGCAGAUAUCAGGAGGAACACCGGUGGCGAAGGCGGGUCUCUGGGCCGAUACUGACGCUGAGGAGCGAAAGCGUGGGGAGCGAACAGG